UAUUCUGCCCCAUGGGGAAGGAUGAGAAGCUUCGACUAAGGUUCGACUCGAGCGCCAGCGAGAGAACGUUGCCACAGGCAACGGCCCGAAGGGCGAGGCGCUUUAGCGCCGAGUAAUCCUUCCCCCA
RNAcentral lists this small RNA (127 nucleotides) under Klebsiella pneumoniae subsp. pneumoniae. Its description in RNAcentral is "partial RtT sRNA". It matches the Rfam family "RtT RNA". From Rfam's summary of the family: This family represents a bacterial cis-regulatory element known as RtT RNA. The exact function of RtT is unknown although it is thought that it may be involved in changing the cellular response in relation to amino acid starvation. The record is from RNAcentral. Lineage: Bacteria; Pseudomonadati; Pseudomonadota; Gammaproteobacteria; Enterobacterales; Enterobacteriaceae.